This 468-nucleotide ribosomal RNA is filed under the name uncultured Desulfobulbus sp. RNAcentral describes it as "bacterial SSU rRNA". It matches the Rfam family "Bacterial small subunit ribosomal RNA", at positions 920 to 1382 of the family's 1533-position model. The record is from RNAcentral. Lineage: Bacteria; Pseudomonadati; Thermodesulfobacteriota; Desulfobulbia; Desulfobulbales; Desulfobulbaceae.
CCCGCGACAAGCGGUGGAGUAUGUGGUUUAAUUCGAUGCAACGCGAAGAACCUUACCUGGUCUUGACAUCCCGGAGACCCUUAGGAAACUAGGGGUGCUUCCAUCUGGAAGAAUCUGGAGACAGGUGCUGCAUGGCUGUCGUCAGCUCGUGUCGUGAGAUGUUGGGUUAAGUCCCGCAACGAGCGCAACCCUUGCCUUUAGUUGCCAGCAGUUCGGCUGGGCACUCUAAAGGGACUGCCGGUGUUAAACCGGAGGAAGGUGGGGAUGACGUCAAGUCCUCAUGGCCUUUAUGACCAGGGCUACACACGUACUACAAUGGCCGAUACAAAGGGCAGCGACACUGCGAGGUGAAGCCAAUCCCGUAAAAUCGGUCUCAGUCCGGAUUGGAGUCUGCAACUCGACUCCAUGAAGUUGGAAUCGCUAGUAAUCGUGGAUCAGCAUGCCACGGUGAAUACGUUCCCGGGCCUU